This 753-nucleotide long non-coding RNA is filed under the name Homo sapiens (human). RNAcentral describes it as "HSALNT0179725". Lineage: Eukaryota; Metazoa; Chordata; Mammalia; Primates; Hominidae. The record is from RNAcentral.
CGGGGAUACACAAACACACCGGGUUGCGGGAGGGGGCAUCGGACUGACUUUGGGAGGUUCCGAAUCCCAUUGUAAAGCUGGGGAAUGCCCUCCAGAACUCAGAUGGCCAAAUGGGAUUCAUGGACCACCCUAGAUGCGGUGCAUGGGGGUCCUGCUUCCCAGUUCCUCUCAUUUAAUCUCAUCUAAAUCAGCUUUUAGUCCCUUCUUUCUGGACCAACUGAUCUACUAGUCUGAGUGUAAGAAAACCUGGUCCCUCUAGGCCCCCCCAGGACAACAGGAUCUGAGCUUCAUGAGAGUGAUGGGACUUUCAGUCCUGUCCUCCCUAAUUCUUUCAGGAUUGAUGGAUGAUGGCCAUAGGAAUGUUUCUGAAGGCAUGGACUGCUUUACCUGGGAAGUGCCCCUGAUCAUGGUCAUGAUGAAGUCUCUGUGGCCUGGAGCAUCGAUGAUAAUGCUGUAGUAUGUGCUAGUCUUGAACUUCCACAGGGAGAUAUCAAUGAUCCUUUUCCUUCCCGUCUCCACAUGUCCAGAAGUUUGGUCCCCAUAAAAUUACAGUGGGCUGGGCACAGUUGCUCACGCCUGUAAUCUCAGCACUUUGGGAGCCUGAAGCAGGAGGAUCACUUGAACUUAGGAAAAGAAGGCCAGCCUGGGCAAUAUGAUUUAACCCAUCUCUACAAAAAAUUAAAAAUAGAGAAAAGAAAAAUUAGCCAGGCACAGUAGUGUGCACCUGAGGGGGCUGAAGUGGGAGAAUCACUU